RNAcentral lists this ribosomal RNA (322 nucleotides) under uncultured eukaryote. RNAcentral describes it as "partial 18S ribosomal RNA". It matches the Rfam family "Eukaryotic small subunit ribosomal RNA", at positions 1470 to 1796 of the family's 1831-position model. The record is from RNAcentral.
CCCUUAGAUGUUCUGGGCCGCACGCGUGCUACACUGAGUGGAUCAGCGGGUCAGGUUGCGCGAAAGCGUUUCCUAAUCUUUAAAUCCGCUCGUGAUGGGGAUUGACGGUUGCAAUUUUCUGUCAUGAACGAGGAAUACCUUGUAAGCGCGGGUCAUCAUCCCGCGCUGAAUACGUCCCUGCCCUUUGUACACACCGCCCGUCGCUCCUACCGAUUGAGUGGUCCGGUGAGGCUUAGGGAUCUGAGCGGAAAGAGCGUUUCGCUGUUUCUGCUCGGAAAACUCAGUCGAACCUUAUCAUUUAGAGGAAGGAGAAGUCGUAACA